UCCAUCACAGCACAUUCAUCCUUGAGUUCAUUUCAUGAAUUCAUCCUCCCGCCUCUCAUCUUUUGAUCAGAUCUGCAGAACGGACGUCGUGCCAAACAGAUGAAGAGAAUCCUGACAGGCGGAGCAGAAAGAUGAAUGUUUAUGUAGGAGAUGUUACCGUUUUGGUUCAGGAUCCAGUUUUCUCCUCCUUAUUUUCUUUUCAUUAUGAGGCGUUUUCAAAAGAGGACAGCUAAUUCUGAAAAAUGGUCAAAAUCAAGCCAAACGCAUGAAUGUGAGCAGACGUCUGAGCUAAUGUCUAGGAUCAGGAGCCUUUUCUGUGGGCUAAGAAAAGGAAAUUGCGCCCCCUACCGAACCAAACUCUGCUUUCUGACUCUGUUCUGAGCCAGAGGCUUUUCUCCAUCAACAUGAACAUGUGCCAGCACGCCGCUCCUCAAUCAGAUGACCUUGGCAGCGGGACGCAGCCGACGGUCUCGGAGCGAAAGAGCCAUCCAUCACGCUGCAGACAGACCGCCUGUCACUCCGUUAUCAAGCCUCUGAAAACUCAGACUGAUGUCUCAGGGAGCCAUAUGGAGAGGAGAUCCAGUAUUUACUCGGAGGAGCUGUGAUUCAUGGCUAAGUGAUGCAAGUUAAUGAGUCUUGAAUGAGACAGACCUCCUGUACGGUGGUCGUCCUUGUCACUGAGUGUUUUUGUGAAGGUUUCAAGGUUUGUCUAAGAGAGUCAAAUGUCCUCUGUGAUCGUUUGAAGGUGCUCGAGGUGUCUGUCGGCUCUGUGCAAACGAGAGGGAAGUGAACACAUUCCAAAGUGGUGAAACAAAGCUGUUUUCCCAACCACUGAAAGUGUUUACAGAUGUGCCGUCAAAUUUUACAUUUCAAAAGUCAUCUCGGCACCAAGCACUCUUAAAUAUAUAACAUUAAAAACACUGUUGCAAAUCUAUCACUGGGCACAAAAGGCUUUCCAAGAGAAUAAAACACACACGCACAAACACUAGCUUAACUCGAUGAAAUGUAAAGCUCUGUGACGCAGCGAUCUUCAUUUGUGCCGUUUUCUUUUCUGAGAGGGGGUGGAAAAUAAUCCUAGCACAUGUCCUCAGACUCGCAGACUUGUGCAUGGUGACCAGAUGCUGCUCCAGCGGGACUGUGUCUGGGAUCGGCCUGCUGGGAAUCGGUUAGUCGAUCCCAUACGCAAAGGCCCUGUGCACACCUGGUACUGACACUGGGUAAUCCGAACACAACUGGACGGUGCUAAAUACUGGUGCAAACCGAGCCAAACACGCUUUCUGAUCUAAACUCUCAAACUGCAUGCAGAAGUGAGUAAGUGCACUGAGUAAUUGAAUCAAGUGUUAUAAUGCAUUAUAACACUUAUCUAUUCAUUGUUACAUUUUUAUUUUUAAA
This is a long non-coding RNA of Cyprinus carpio carpio, 1392 nucleotides long. The record is from Ensembl. NCBI's taxonomy places the organism in Eukaryota, Metazoa, Chordata, Actinopteri, Cypriniformes, Cyprinidae.